Long non-coding RNA from Dreissena polymorpha, 1438 nucleotides. RefSeq lists it as uncharacterized. The record is from RefSeq and is a predicted model, not a curated record. Lineage: Eukaryota; Metazoa; Mollusca; Bivalvia; Myida; Dreissenidae. The transcript is spliced from 3 exons.
GUGUUUAUAAAAACAUACAUCUUUCAUAAACUAUGUUAAAGGUAUUUUUAAGAAUAAUACAUAGUUGUUAACUUACUGACAUGAUUGCAUAGCUAGAACGACAUUGACAGUGUUUUGAGGUUCUUCUGGUCCUGGGCCUCAUCUUUUAAAUAUUUAAUUUUUACAUGUACACUCAAUUUAAGUGAAUGAAUCAAAAGUUGUUGGGCUGCAGUAAAGAUUACAAAGACAACGAAGACGAGUAUCUGAUCCACAACCGACAACAUCUAAGUGAUUAACAUACGAUAACUUUUGAACCACAAUAUAGGUCGAAAACUGUUCGCAUAACAGUAUGCACACAUUUUCACAAAGCGCCACAAUUCACUUUGAACUAUAAAUAAGUAUGGCCGGUUUAACAGGUUUAGAAGACGCUACUGAAAAUCUCAAUAUCGGUCCUUUGGUAUCUUUAAACGAUUUUAAAGAGUGUUUUGCUCAUGACGGAAAGUAUGGAGAUAAUGCCCAGAACAAAUGGAAAUCAAAGACAAUACUAAUUUACAAACUUGGAGACAAUCCCUUUAGAAAACUCGAGAACGUACCCAAUAUGUUUGGUCAAGUCGUUUCACCCGGUAAACACGCCGAGAUUGUAUUAAUCGAAAAAAUACAGACUGAGAUAGAAAACAGGCGGAUGCGUUCUCAACAUCCCAUUCACGUUAAAGUCGAGAUCUACAUCAGCUACUCACCGUGUCACGAUUGUUCAAAUACAAUAGUAAAUUUCAUAGAAAAAUGUAACCGUGAAUGGUGCAUUUUUGACAUCAAGAUGAAUUUCAGUAACUUUUACAAACAUUAUGAAUGCCUUCGGAAUAGUGCAGGCCAACAUGUACCCGUACAUAAUGAAGGUCUCCGUAAACUUCUACUGAAACGCGUAAUGUUACAGCCAGUAACUGGAAAAGAAAAGUGGGAGAACUUCCUGUCGGCAAACGGUGUUCCGGUGCAGAAACAAGCUGAUAGGUUAGCUAUUGCUUCCUCACAGGAAAGGAUAACAAGAGAAGUAGAUGACAAUAACCUUUUCUUAAAGAUUUACAACAGCGUGUUUCAUUGAACAUGUGUUCGACGAAACAAGAGAUGUCUGAGUGAACGUUACCUUUUUGCAGUGAUUAACUCACGGUGGAUGAAAAGGAAACAAUCCGAGCACAGACUUUUACAACACAAUGACUGUUAAAUCCUUACUGACCAUCAGUAUAGUUUAUAUUUAUCUUGUUAUAUGUACGUACAUAAUUAUUAACUGUAUGAAAUGUAUUAUUAGUUGUAAUUUUAUAUUAAAAUUUAUUUGCUAUCAUUUUAAAAUGUUAACUUCUGUUGUUAAAUCAUAGGAAAGGGACGCAGAAAUAUUCAAUAUCACAUACGUGAAAUAUGAUGUAUAUAAACUGGUUUCGAUGUGAUAUAUAAACAAUUCUUAAAUGUG